RNAcentral lists this long non-coding RNA (2309 nucleotides) under Equus caballus (horse). RNAcentral's name for it is "lncRNA (ENSECAG00000057018.1)". The record is from RNAcentral. Lineage: Eukaryota; Metazoa; Chordata; Mammalia; Perissodactyla; Equidae.
UUCCAGGAGUGAUCAGGGGACAUGUUCACAUUCAUUUAAUUCACUAGAGAGAAAUUUAUAAAUGGAUUUUUAACUUAAACUGGAGGAUACAUCUGCUACUGAGAACCAAUAGCCAAGUCAGUACAUUCUCUUCUCAGCUAGGAAGCCUCCACGGCGAUAAAUGAAGAUUAGAGUGUACUCAGUGAGACAGCUGAAAGGAAUGUGGGCAAUAGAGAUAAAGCCAAGCUUUGUUAGCCAGGGGCAUAUGGCCAGUUGGCAGAUGGACACACCUAUGUAGGUCAGCUCUUCCUCAGAGCACCUUUAUCCAGGUUUGGUCCGGUUCUCUUUCCACUCAUCGUUCUCCUCGAGGCCGAAGAACUGGACUUGGCAGCGGAAGUGGUUGCGGGGGUUGUGCCAGAAGGCAGCAGAGACCCUCAGCCGGCUGCUCAGACAGUAGCUGGGGUUUUCAUCAUCUGACUGCUCCCUGUAGGGCUGAGGGUCCGUGCUGACCCCAGUCUGGACUUCCUUCCCAUUCACCCACCAGCUCAGCUCCACGUGGUCGGGGUAGAAGCCUGUGGCCAGGCACACGAGCGUGGCCUUCUCGGUGCGGGAGAUCUCUGCUUCCGAAGGUUCAAACACAGCCACCUUGGCCAAGGAGCCUCUGGCUAUUAUCUUAUCUGAUCUUCCACAUUCACUCCUACGCUGGGGCACACAGGGUGUGUGGUAGCUUGCCCAGGAUGGCUGUAAUCCCAUGAAAAAUACUGCUCAUGGGCUGAGCCCCUUCUUCUUUCCAGUGCCCAGCAAGCUUGCCUGCCAGCUUUGCAGUCCUAGUUCACAGCCAGGCUUUGCAUUUCUAAAAGCAGUAAAACUUGGUUGCUGGGAAUGAACAAAUCCCAAGUCCGAGGGCCAUUUCAUCAGGGGGUUCAUGUCCUAAAGUCCUGGGCCCUUUUACAAGCCUGACAGAUGGGAGACAAUUUCUGGAAUUGUUGGAAGGAAUGACCUCAUCUGAAGACACGGAAGGAUGGAAGACACCACGUCCUUCCCUGAAGCACCUUCCUGUUUCCAGAAUGUACUUGCCCUCUAUUUGGCUUUGUUUUGAUCAUGGGAGUGAGGUUUUAGAGCAGGAACAUGGUAAGCCCAGAUGUUUCCACUUUAUCCAAAUUUGGGGGAAUGUCUCUGAUAGGAAAAUUGAGACACAGGUUUGGAAAAAGGCAAAUUCUGUGACACGGUGAUGAUAAACAAUAAGAAUGAAAAGGAUGGUCACUAAAGGAGAAUCCUUUCCAAAGGAUUCUCACAUAAGUUAGUCUCUUACAAUUUAAGGACCCCGCAAGGCUGGCAUUAUUAUCUCCAUUUUCUACAUCUCAGAGACCCUGAGGCAGUUUAAGUUGUGUUCUGAUAGCAGGAGUCCCCCUCCCCCCAAACCCAGGUGUUGUGAGUCCCAGUGAUUCUUACUUUCCAAUUUCCAUUACAAUUACUGGCAUGUGCCCCCAUCUUCAGGACAAAGCCUUCUCCAGCCAACCAAUCGAGUAGGACCUAUGUGUCCCAUUCCUCUGGCCUUGUCUAUAUCUCCAGCCCAGACCGCCCCCAGACUUGCCCCACAGCUCCCACCUGCCUGCUUCAUCCCAAGCAUGGUAAUGGUGUUUCUUGAUGGCCCCUCACCCUACCAUCCCAGCAUAGAUCUUGAGGUUUGAGAAAAUGGGGCCUCCAAUCUAUUUCUCUUCUUUAUACCUUGUCUGUUGCUAAGAUGGUGUGUUUCCAGUUGUAACAGUUUAUUCAGACCUAUCUCCUCUGACUCCUACCAAGCACAGUGUCCCCCAGAGACCCCCCUGCAGUGCCUGUGAUGCUGUGACAUGGAUUUCUGUCCUCAGGACUCGGGAACACCCCUCAAACCACCCCAAUCUCACCAACCUGGUCCCCCACUGCCUCUCAAGCCCUUAAACCACCCCAGGAAGACACACAUGGGUCUUGGAGACUAGUUGAGACAGAGAGAAGGAGGAUGCUGAAGGCAAGGGCAGAGUUCUGAGCUGGAGGUAGAUGCUGGGAAGACUACUAACAUAGAAGACAGAGCUCUUCACCAAAACAGGGUCAACGAUGCAGGAUUCGAGUCAGAAAGGGGUGGAAAAAAUAGAGAAGCUCAGGUAAGAAAGAGAAGGGAAGUGACACAUCUGUUCAAAAAAGUGGAGCUGAGAGAAAGAGUCCUGGAGAACAAUGAAAAGAAGAGCUAGAAAACACAAAGCCUGAGGACCACGCUCGGAGCCCCGCAGCCGAGGAGCCGCUACAAACACAGCAGAGCCAGCUGGAGAGGCUCCGGGGGGAGGGCGGGAGAGGCC